UUCUUCCACGUCUCCACAAACAUUGAGCACUGGAAAAUACACGAUACGGAGGUGCACGUAUAGUCAAUACGUGUAUAAAUUCUGAUAAAGCUACUUAAUUCUCUGGCGACCGAUUUGGACUGCAUGCUGAGCGAGCUGUGCACUACUUCCAAUUCCUACGAACGAUUUCUGGGCUGGUCUCGCGCCACUGUCACUUGCAGCCUCAACAAGGGAGCUUUAAAAGAGAGGGGAUGAAGCGCAGAAUUGAAAUGAAAUUCCGACCUCAGCUCCCACAGUUGAAUUAUUAUCGGCUAGUAAUCUUACUAAAAAGUUUGCCUUCACUUCGGACUCGCGAUCUAUUCUUUUUCUUUUCUUGUUGAUAUAAAGAAAGAAAAAGUCAAAAGGAAGUACGUAU
Wasmannia auropunctata (little fire ant) is the source of this 394-nucleotide long non-coding RNA. RefSeq lists it as uncharacterized. The transcript has 3 exons. The record is from RefSeq and is a predicted model, not a curated record. NCBI's taxonomy places the organism in Eukaryota, Metazoa, Arthropoda, Insecta, Hymenoptera, Formicidae.